RNAcentral lists this long non-coding RNA (835 nucleotides) under Panax ginseng (ginseng). RNAcentral's name for it is "long non-coding RNA (PGIN_LNC000802)". Lineage: Eukaryota; Viridiplantae; Streptophyta; Magnoliopsida; Apiales; Araliaceae. The record is from RNAcentral.
UGUAUAGAUUUUUAAUCGUAAUUUUGUCAAAUUCGGUGGUAUAGUACUAUGGAUAGCAAAAAUUUAUUUGCCAAGAUCAGUGUGAAUUUAUGUCAAGCCAGGCUAGCCAGCCCUUCAAAAGUUAACCGAGUACACAAAGGAGUUCUCACAAGAAACCUUCUAUAAACACAGCUCCCGAUGUGCUUAGGCAGAAUAAAAAAAAAGGCUUCAGUUCAGAAGAUUCACAUACUUGAGGAGGGUUAAUCGAAACUCAUCGUUGGCUUUGAAAGAUACUAUUUUGGAGAGACAAUAAAGAGAUAAAGGUUUGUAAUUGUGUUUUCCUUUCCUUCUAUAUCUAUUUUGUAUGUAUAUAAGAAAAACUAUCACUCAUGUGCUUCAUUAUAUAUUGGCGGAACGUUUAUAAUCUUUGUAUGAAUAUUAGUUAACUCAUAUUUAUGAAUAAAAGCAAAAAAAAUAGAACCAUAGAGGAAGAGAGUUCAAUAACUUAUCUCAUUUUUCCAUGUUUAGCAGGACCACUAUAUGAUUGUUUUCUGAUGAAGAUGAUAGUUGAUGAAUCCAAUUUUCUUAAUGCAUUGUGGCCUUUAGGUUCUGCUUUGUACUAUUUGAGCCUAUUACGCAGGAUUGUGAAGGAGUUGGUGUUCUUCAUCCGUAAAAAGAUUGCAUAUGGUGCAUGUCUGAUUCAUUUUUUAGCACUGAAUCCAAGUUUUAUUAUUGUAGAAUCAUUAACCUUCACAAUUAAGAAGAGCCUUUUUUUCGCAUACUUGAGGAGGGUUAAUCGAAACUCAUCGUUGGCUUUGAAAGAUACUAUUUUGGAGAGACAAUAAAGAGAUAAAGG